This 1156-nucleotide ribosomal RNA is filed under the name uncultured bacterium. RNAcentral's name for it is "bacterial SSU rRNA". It matches the Rfam family "Bacterial small subunit ribosomal RNA", at positions 386 to 1533 of the family's 1533-position model. The record is from RNAcentral.
ACCCAGCAACGCCGCGUGGAGGAUGAAGCCCUUCGGGGUGUAAACUCCUGUCAGGCGGGACGAAUCUUCCAUUCCUAAAUAGGGGAUGGGGUUGACGGUACCGCCAGAGGAAGCCCCGGCUAACUACGUGCCAGCAGCCGCGGUAAUACGUAGGGGGCAAGCGUUGUUCGGAAUUACUGGGCGUAAGGGCGUGUAGGUGGCCUUGCAAGUCAGGCGUGAAAUCCUCCGGCUUAACUGGAGAAGUGCGUUUGAUACUGCAAGGCUUGAGUGCGGGAGAGGAGAGUGGAAUUCCCGGUGGAGCGGUGAAAUGCGUAGAUAUCGGGAAGAACACCGGUGGCGAAGGCGGCUCUCUGGACCGCAACUGACACUGAGACGCGAAAGCUAGGGGAGCAAACGGGAUUAGAUACCCCGGUAGUCCUAGCCGUAAACGUUGGGCACUAGGUGUAGGAGGUAUCGACCCCUCCUGUGCCGCAGUUAACACAAUAAGUGCCCCGCCUGGGGAGUACGGCCGCAAGGCUGAAACUCAAAGGAAUUGACGGGGGCCCGCACAAGCGGUGGAGGAUGUGGUUCAAUUCGACGCAACGCGAAGAACCUUACCUGGGUUUGACAUGUACCGGAAGUCAGCAGAAAUGCUGGUGUCCUUCGGGAUCGGUACACAGGUGCUGCAUGGCUGUCGUCAGCUCGUGUCGUGAGAUGUUGGGUUAAGUCCCGCAACGAGCGCAACCCUCACCCUCAGUUGCCAUCGGUUCGGCCGGGCACUCGGAGGGAACUGCCCCGGACAACGGGGAGGAAGGUGGGGAUGACGUCAAGUCCUCAUGGCCUUUAUAUCCAGGGCUACACACGUCCUACAAUGGCCGGUACAAAGGGCUGCAAACCCGCGAGGGGGAGCCAAUCCCAGAAAACCGGUCUCAGUUCGGAUUGGAGUCUGCAACUCGACUCCAUGAAGUUGGAAUCGCUAGUAAUCGCGCAUCAGCAUGGCGCGGUGAAUACGUUCCCGGGCCUUGUACACACCGCCCGUCACACCACGAAAGCCUGUUGUACCUGAAGUCGCUGGGCUAACCCGCAAGGGAGGCAGGCGCCCGCGGUAUGGCCGGUGAUUGGGGUGAAGUCGUAACAAGGUAGCCGUAGGGGAACCUGUGGCUGGAUCACCUCCUUA